This 201-nucleotide unclassified non-coding RNA is filed under the name soil metagenome. RNAcentral's name for it is "partial internal transcribed spacer 1". The record is from RNAcentral.
CCGAGUUUACAACUCCCAAACCCAAUGUGAACGUUACCAAACUGUUGCCUCGGCGGGAUCUCUGCCCCGGGUGCGUCGCAGCCCCGGGCCAAGGCGCCCGCCGGAGGACCAACCAAAACUCUUAUUGUAUACCCCCUCGCAGGUUUUUUUUAUAAUCUGAGCCUUCUCGGCGCCUCUCGUAGGCGUUUCGAAAAUGAAUCA